RNAcentral lists this ribosomal RNA (770 nucleotides) under uncultured crenarchaeote. Its description in RNAcentral is "bacterial SSU rRNA". It matches the Rfam family "Archaeal small subunit ribosomal RNA", at positions 24 to 772 of the family's 1478-position model. The record is from RNAcentral. Lineage: Archaea; Thermoproteati; Thermoproteota.
CUACUGCUAUCGGGGUGGGACUAAGACAUGCGAGUCGAGCGUCUCUAGCUAUGUUGAGACGCGGCAGACGGCUCAGUAACACGUGGCUAACCUACCCUCAGGACGGGGACAAACCCGGGAAACUGGGGCUAAUAUCCGAUAGGCGAGGAAUCCUGGAACGGUUCUUCACCCAAAGGGCAUUGGAAACAUGCUUUCUCUGUCGCCUGGGGAUGGGGCCGCGACCGAUCAGGUUGUUGGUGAGGUAAUGGCUCACCAAGCCUUUAACCGGUACGGGCCAUGAGAGUGGUAGCCCGGAGAUGGGCACUGAGACAAGGGCCCAGGCCCUACGGGGCGCAGCAGGCGCGAAACCUCCACAAUGCACUCACGUGCGAUGGGGUUACCUCGAGUGCCGCCUUGAAAGGGUGGCUUUUCCAUAGUAUAACUAGCUUUGGGAAUAAGAGGGGGGCAAGACUGGUGUCAGCCGCCGCGGUAACACCAGCCCCUCGAGUGGUGGGGAUGAUUAUUUGGCCUAAAGCGUUCGUAGCCGGUUAUGAAAGUCCUUCGUUAAAUCCAACGUCCCAAGCGUUGGCUUGCGAAGGAUACUACGUAACUAGAGGGUGGGAGAGGUCAGCGGUAUUCUGGGGGUAGGGGCGAAAUCCUUUGAUCCCCGGAGGACCACCAGUGGCGAAGGCUGCUGACUAAAACACGCCUGACGGUCAGGGACGAAAGCUGGGGUAGCGAACCGGAUUAGAUACCCGGGUAGUCCCAGCCGUAAACGAUGCAUGCUAGGU